Microtus ochrogaster (prairie vole) is the source of this 161-nucleotide small nuclear RNA. Its record names the gene U1. It matches the Rfam family "U1 spliceosomal RNA". Rfam says of the family: U1 is a small nuclear RNA (snRNA) component of the spliceosome (involved in pre-mRNA splicing). Its 5' end forms complementary base pairs with the 5' splice junction, thus defining the 5' donor site of an intron. The record is from Ensembl. NCBI's taxonomy places the organism in Eukaryota, Metazoa, Chordata, Mammalia, Rodentia, Cricetidae.
AAUCUUACCUGACAGGGGAGAUACCAUGAUCAUGAAGUAGUUUUCCCAGGGCGAGACAUAUCCAUCUCACCCUGUAGGUGCUGACUUCUGUGGUUUCCCCAAGUGUGGAAAACUCAACUGAGUAAUUUGUGGUAGUGGAGACUGUAUCAUGCUUUUCCCUG